GGCGACGUAGCCAAGUGGUUAAGGCGGCGGUCUGCAAAACCGCUAUUCACCGGUUCGAAUCCGGUCGUCGCCUCCA
This 76-nucleotide transfer RNA is filed under the name Chloroflexota bacterium. RNAcentral describes it as "Chloroflexi bacterium tRNA-Cys". It matches the Rfam family "tRNA". From Rfam's summary of the family: Transfer RNA (tRNA) molecules are approximately 80 nucleotides in length. Lineage: Bacteria; Bacillati; Chloroflexota. RNAcentral also lists the same sequence under 3 other names. The record is from RNAcentral.